GGGAUUAUAGUUAAUAAUAACAUUUGAUCUGCAAUCAAAAAGAAUUGAAAUAAACAAUUUAUCUCA
This 66-nucleotide transfer RNA is filed under the name Orestes mouhotii. RNAcentral's name for it is "tRNA-Ala". Lineage: Eukaryota; Metazoa; Arthropoda; Insecta; Phasmatodea; Heteropterygidae. The record is from RNAcentral. RNAcentral also lists the same sequence under 1 other name.